This 253-nucleotide ribosomal RNA is filed under the name uncultured bacterium. RNAcentral's name for it is "partial 16S ribosomal RNA". It matches the Rfam family "Bacterial small subunit ribosomal RNA", at positions 524 to 776 of the family's 1533-position model. The record is from RNAcentral.
UACGUAGGGUGCGAGCGUUGUCCGGAAUUAUUGGGCGUAAAGAGCUCGUAGGUGGUUUGUUACGUCUGCUGUGAAAACCUAGGGCUUAACCCUGGGCCUGCAGUGGAUACGGGCAGACUAGAGGUAGGUAGGGGCAUGCGGAACUUCCGGUGGAGCGGUGAAAUGCGUAGAUAUCGGAAGGAACGCCGGUGGCGAAAGCGGCGUGCUGGACCUCUUCUGACGCUGAGGCGCGAAAGCCAGGGGAGCGAACGGG